This 966-nucleotide long non-coding RNA is filed under the name Manihot esculenta (cassava). RNAcentral's name for it is "long non-coding RNA (MESC_LNC004410)". Lineage: Eukaryota; Viridiplantae; Streptophyta; Magnoliopsida; Malpighiales; Euphorbiaceae. The record is from RNAcentral.
UAAAACGGCCUGACCUGACCUGUUCUUCCAUUUCCCUUCUGGACUGUACUGGAAAGGAAACAUCCCAACAAACACAUGGGAAAGCCAAGCCAACAACCAUGACUGCCACGUGUCGACAUCCUAUAGGCCGCCCUUCACAACAUCGAACCAGCUGCUCAUCAACCCUUUCAAGCUACGCGCACUGGAUUGGACCACUCAGCUUUCUACACAGCUCAUUUUGUGGGCUCCACUCCUACAUCCACCUAUAUAUAUCCCCCUUGCCGACGAUCCAUCUUCAUCUUCGUGCGCUGCAUCUUAAUUACACUUCUCAUUCUAUUAAUCUCUGCAAUUCUUCACAACACAUCUCAAGUGCUCCCUUCACUAGAAAUGGCACAAUUCACCAGUUUUACCGCCGUUGUGGUUGCAUGCUUCGCCUCCGUUUUCCUGGCAGCUGCUAAUGUAUCUGCGCAAACUGCACUUGCGCCAGCUCCUUCAAUGGAUACCGGAGCCGGCUUCUCUCUACCAAUGUCUGGUGCCGUUGUCGCAUCUUCUCUUCUUCUAUCACUGUUUGCUCUCUUGAGGCAUUAAUUGAUCAUCUCUCUCUCUCUCUAUAUAUAUAUAUAUAACAGUAAUUUGGGCUUUUGUUGCUUUGGAAUUUUAAUUUUCUUGAUUUUGUGGUGAGUGGCUGAUGUUUGCAUUGUAUUCAUUCUUUGAUGUUGAUUAUAUACAGAGCUAAAAUAAAAAUACAUAAUGGAAAAUAAUUCAUUUGUGUGUCUAAUUUGUUCCUUGCUAAACCUAUUUGAGAUUUUGUAUAAUUUCGACAAUAGGCCCUGGAAUUUAUGCUUAAUUGCCUAGAAAUUUUUUUUUUUUUUACAAAAGUAAGAGAAUAUAAAAUGUAAUUUACAAUAAGACCUUGAUAUUUAAUGAAAUUCACAAUUAAGUAUUGUUAUUUUUACUUUUACUGUUAUUCUAAACAUAAUAUACAAC